GCCUGGGUGGCGGAAUUGGUAGACGCGCACGACUCAAACUCGUGUUCCUCGGAGUGUGGGUUCGAUUCCCACCCCAGGUA
RNAcentral lists this transfer RNA (80 nucleotides) under Imtechella halotolerans K1. Its description in RNAcentral is "Flavobacterium sp. K1 tRNA". It matches the Rfam family "tRNA". Rfam says of the family: Transfer RNA (tRNA) molecules are approximately 80 nucleotides in length. Their secondary structure includes four short double-helical elements and three loops (D, anti-codon, and T loops). The record is from Rfam by way of RNAcentral. RNAcentral also lists the same sequence under 1 other name. Lineage: Bacteria; Pseudomonadati; Bacteroidota; Flavobacteriia; Flavobacteriales; Flavobacteriaceae.